CAGAGAUUGGAAUUUCAAUUCUGUGGCCUAGAACAAGGCGAUGUUCAUGAGUUGGCUCCAGACAUUGAAAUAAAAUAAGGAUUGGAAUGUAGUCAGUCUGAAGGCUGCAAGAAUACAGAAGAGGAGGGGGAAGGGUCUUCUAUGUUUCAUCUACAGUACUUCUAUAUGAUAAUUGAUUAAUGGAAGAUGAAAAAUAUGGCUACAUGAGAAUAUAUUAGUCCUGUUUCUGUAUAUCUUCCACAAGGCAACUAGUUGUCUAGUUCAUAAGUUUUACAACACCAGGACAAGGCACAGCCCGGUCAUGAUACUCACACAGAUACUGUCAACUCUUGUGUGACUGCAGCACUAAGGUGUCAAAAUUUAGACGUUUCCUCAUUAAGAUGUAACAGGUGACAAACUUUGAUCCAAUCAAAUCUUAAAAGAAACGGCUUUUGCUAAAGAUGCUGCCUGUAUCUUGUAACUCUAAGAAUUCAGCCCAUGUUUUAAUGUCAGAGGAAUAGAAGAUUAA
Molecule: long non-coding RNA, 508 nt
Organism: Homarus americanus (American lobster)
Lineage: Eukaryota; Metazoa; Arthropoda; Malacostraca; Decapoda; Nephropidae
Exons: 4
Source: RefSeq, a predicted model, not a curated record